GGAGCUUGCUCCCGGAUGUUAGCGGCGGACGGGUGAGUAACACGUGGGUAACCUGCCUGUAAGACUGGGAUAACUCCGGGAAACCGGAGCUAAUACCGGAUAGUUCCUUGAACCGCAUGGUUCAAGGAUGAAAGACGGUUUCGGCUGUCACUUACAGAUGGACCCGCGGCGCAUUAGCUAGUUGGUGAGGUAACGGCUCACCAAGGCGACGAUGCGUAGCCGACCUGAGAGGGUGAUCGGCCACACUGGGACUGAGACACGGCCCAGACUCCUACGGGAGGCAGCAGUAGGGAAUCUUCCGCAAUGGACGAAAGUCUGACGGAGCAACGCCGCGUGAGUGAUGAAGGUUUUCGGAUCGUAAAGCUCUGUUGUUAGGGAAGAACAAGUGCAAGAGUAACUGCUUGCACCUUGACGGUACCUAACCAGAAAGCCACGGCUAACUACGUGCCAGCAGCCGCGGUAAUACGUAGGUGGCAAGCGUUGUCCGGAAUUAUUGGGCGUAAAGGGCUCGCAGGCGGUUUCUUAAGUCUGAUGUGAAAGCCCCCGGCUCAACCGGGGAGGGUCAUUGGAAACUGGGAAACUUGAGUGCAGAAGAGGAGAGUGGAAUUCCACGUGUAGCGGUGAAAUGCGUAGAGAUGUGGAGGAACACCAGUGGCGAAGGCGACUCUCUGGUCUGUAACUGACGCUGAGGAGCGAAAGCGUGGGGAGCGAACAGGAUUAGAUACCCUGGUAGUCCACGCCGUAAACGAUGAGUGCUAAGUGUUAGGGGGUUUCCGCCCCUUAGUGCUGCAGCUAACGCAUUAAGCACUCCGCCUGGGGAGUACGGUCGCAAGACUGAAACUCAA
Molecule: ribosomal RNA, 845 nt
Filed under: Bacillus sp. (in: firmicutes)
Lineage: Bacteria; Bacillati; Bacillota; Bacilli; Caryophanales; Bacillaceae
Description: bacterial SSU rRNA
Rfam family: Bacterial small subunit ribosomal RNA
Source: RNAcentral